Molecule: ribosomal RNA, 460 nt
Filed under: uncultured bacterium
Lineage: Bacteria
Description: partial 16S ribosomal RNA
Rfam family: Bacterial small subunit ribosomal RNA
Source: RNAcentral
CCUACGGGUGGCAGCAGUGAGGAAUAUUGGUCAAUGGACGAGAGCCUGAACCAGCCAAGUAGCGUGAAGGAUGACGGCGCCAUGGGUCGUAAACUUCUUUUAUAAGGGAAUAAAGCGCGGCACGUGUGCCGUUGUGCAUGUACUUGAUGAAUAAGGAUCGGCUAACUCCGUGCCAGCAGCCGCGGUAAUACGGAGGAUCCGAGCGUUAUCCGGAUUUAUUGGGUUUAAAGGGUGCGUAGAUGGGUUGUUAAGUCAGUGGUGAAAGUUUGCGGCUCAACCGUAAAAUUGCAAUUGAUACUGGCAGUCUUGAGUACAGUAGAGGUAGGCGGAAUGCGUGGUGUAGCGGUGAAAUGCUUAGAUAUCACGAAGAACCCCGAUUGCGAAGGCAGCUUACUAACCCGGGACUGACAUUGAUGCUCGAAAGUGUGGGUAUCAAACAGGAUUAGAUACCCGGGUAGUC